This 508-nucleotide ribosomal RNA is filed under the name uncultured bacterium. RNAcentral describes it as "partial 16S ribosomal RNA". It matches the Rfam family "Bacterial small subunit ribosomal RNA", at positions 28 to 523 of the family's 1533-position model. The record is from RNAcentral.
GACGAACGCUGGCGGCGCGCUUAACACAUGCAAGUCGAGCGAGAACCAGGGCUUCGGCCCUGGGGACAGCGGCGAACGGGUGAGUAACACGUGGGUAAUCUGCCCUCGGCACCGGAAUAGCCCGGGGAAACCCGGAUUAAUGCCGGAUGGCCCCUUCACCUCGCGAGGUGUCGGGAAAAGGUAGCUUCGGCCUCUGGCCGAGGAUGAGCCCGCGGCGGAUUAGCUUGUUGGCGGGGUAACGGCCCACCAAGGCAACGAUCCGUAGCUGGUCUGAGAGGACGAUCAGCCACACUGGGACUGAGACACGGCCCAGACUCCUACGGGAGGCAGCAGUGGGGAAUCUUGCGCAAUGGGCGAAAGCCUGACGCAGCGACGCCGCGUGAGGGAAGACGGCCUUCGGGUUGUAAACCUCUUUCAGGAGGGACGAAGCUACUCGGGUGAAUAGCCCAGAGGGUGACGGUACCUCCAGAAGAAGCCCCGGCUAACUACGUGCCAGCCGCCGCUGUAA